GCACCCCUAAGACUGUGUUGAUCUAGGCAUGACAAUGGUGCGGGCAAGGUGGUUUUGGGUUGUCGAAGCUUUACUCCCAUCACUGGGUGCCCCGCCUGCCAUGUUUUUAUUUUCCUUCUAUCGUUCCAUUAUUCUAUUUCAAACUGAAUGUUAUUUUCAUUCAUCUGUUUCCGUCGUUUCCGAUUCUUGCCCCGCCAAUUUUCAUGUAAACUGUUGUAUAUGGACCAAAAUUCUACAAAAAGAGGACGACGUUAGGCAUGUGAGGAGAACACAUUUUGCACCAUAGUUCUGGCAACAUUAGAAUUGACACCCUUUUUGGCUUAAUGACUAGGUAGAAGCUGGAAUUGCAUUACCUAGUGCUUCAAAGAAAAUUUUGUUUGCAUGUGACCUCCUCUAAGUAUGAGGUGGACCAGCUGGUUGAUUAGCUCAUUCAUUCUUUUCUCUGUUGGGUUCUUGAAGAUUCUGCCUUUAGGAACAUGGAACUAAAUGAGAGUAGAGAGAUAAGAGAGACAUGGGGAAGAACAGAUUCACAGAGGUCUGAAAACCUAAAACUAACAUGUUCAUUUGUGCCACUUUUCUAGGAGAGAAGGAAAAUAUAGCCGGCGUAUCUUUGCUAAGAGUCUCGCCAUCCAUGCCCCACUUAAGCUUUCUUUGCCUGGUCCCGCCUCAUUGAAUUGCCAUUCCUUCAUGUGAUUAUCAAAUAGUGCUCUCUAAUGCAGUCUUGUGCAAGUAAUUUACAUACUUUGGAUUGUGAAUGCUCUAUGAUGGCUGCUGUUGAACUACCCCUAUUAUAUUCUGCUUUCUGAAAUGUAAAGUUGGUCAUUUAACUACAGUUACAAAUGUCUCCGAGAACCAGAACUGAAAUUAAACUUAAAACUGAUGAAUGAUGAUCCCAUUCACUUUUCCUCCAUUCCAUUACCUGGAUUUCGCUUCAACCAAUUUUCUACCUAAACUUCUUUUGCUCAAGUC
This 969-nucleotide long non-coding RNA is filed under the name Nicotiana tabacum (common tobacco). RNAcentral's name for it is "long non-coding RNA (NTAB_LNC014901)". Lineage: Eukaryota; Viridiplantae; Streptophyta; Magnoliopsida; Solanales; Solanaceae. The record is from RNAcentral.